ACUCCCUUUCAUUCUUCCCCUCCCACCACACACACACACACACACACACACACACACACACCCGGACCCAGACAGCCCACUCCACUUUCCAGACGCCCACCUCCUACAUACUCCCCUCCCCUAAACAGACAUUCACCCACUAGCCAUCUGUAGCCUCCUUCCGCCCCCCGCCCCGCCUGCCUGGCUCCCCCUCCCCAAGAAGCAGACCUGCACAGUGGGACGCAGGGACCCCCGCCAGACGCUCGGGUAGUGCACGCCGCACUGACCUCGGCCCGCCCCGCCAGGAAACUAACAAAGGCGGGCGCGAGCCCGGAGCCCAGGAGCGGCGAGCUGCGGCCGCGGGGCCAGGGAGCCUGGGCCGGGCCGGGCGGGGACUACUCCGGAGUCAGGAGGCAGCAGCUGCGGAGGACGCGAAUCUCUGGCAGUCAGCGCCGCUCGGACGCUGCCGGCACCAUGGGCUGCUGCACCGGACGCUGCUCGCUCAUCUGCCUCUGCGCGCUGCAGUUGAUCUCAGCAUUAGAGAGGCAGAUCUUUGACUUCCUUGGUUUCCAGUGGGCUCCUAUUCUUGGAAAUUUUCUGCACAUAAUAGUUGUCAUAUUGGGUUUGUUUGGAACCAUUCAGUACAGACCUCGAUACAUAAUGGUGUAUACAGUGUGGACUGCCCUCUGGGUCACCUGGAAUGUGUUCAUUAUCUGCUUUUAUUUGGAAGUAGGUGGACUCUCAAAGGACACCGAUCUAAUGACAUUCAAUAUCUCUGUACAUCGGUCAUGGUGGAGAGAACACGGGCCUGGUUGUGUCAGAAGAGUGCUGCCUCCCUCAGCCCAUGGCAUGAUGGACGAUUACACGUACGUCUCCGUCACAGGCUGCAUCGUUGACUUCCAGUACCUGGAGGUCAUCCACAGUGCUGUCCAAAUACUACUCUCUUUGGUGGGUUUUGUGUAUGCCUGUUAUGUGAUCAGUAUUUCCAUGGAAGAAGAAGACACAUAUUCAUUUGAUCUGCCAGUAUGCAAACAUCUUUUUAUCCAGAUGCUGCAAAUCAUUGAACAGAGCAAGAGUUAGUAAGAUAUUAUCACCAAAUUGUCACAUCAGUCAGGCCUCAUGUGCUUCCUAAGAACUGAGGUGAUGCAUUACUUUAGAUAGAGUGUCAUCCUAAACCCCAGAUUCAACAUCUUCCUAAUCUUUCUAGUGCAGUCUAAUAUAUAAAUUUUACGAAAAACAUAGGUUUUUUUUAACCUGCAGUGCUCUUUGAGAAUGUAUAUUGAUUCCUAAAGAUUGGCAUUGGUUUUCAUAAAAUGUUAUAAACUAUUAUCUUAGCAUCUUACCAGGAAUUUCCACUAAAUUCACCAAUUUAUGAUUUGUGAAAUCUAAUUCUUUUACUUUUUGAAAAUUUUCAUAUGAAUUUCCCAUUUUCAGUGUUGUAGCACCUCUCUCUUCCUCUAAGAUCCUCCAAACUCACCAAAAGCCAUGAUCUUAUUGCACCAGCAGUUUUAUUUAUUCAAUCCUUCAACAAGUAGUUAUUGAACUUCUAUAAUGUGCCAGGCUCUGGGCUUGGCACUGGAGCUUGCCUUAUGCCAAACAGAUAUAAUCGAUCCAUUCAAAGUGUCCUAAUUACACAUUGAGGGACCAACUAUAUCUUUUCUCAUUGUAACCUUGGAGCAAAAGCAAAUUCAUUAAAAUAACUUUACAUUAUAGUACCACAAAAAAAAAAUGAACAGAACCAGAAAGCAUUUUUUACAAAAAUUAACGGAACAGCGUCAUAGAGGGGAAAAGGAUGUGAGAUCAUGGUGCCCUACCUUCAAUAGGGUGGCCAGAAAACACCUCUCUGAAGAAGCAGCAUCUGACCUAAGACCUAAAGAACAAGGAGUCAGUGAUGCAGAGAACCUUAGGAGAUGGCUUCCAAUCUGAGAAAACAGGUGUACAAGCAGCAUCGUGCCAGUACCUGCUCAACUUUUGGAAAGGACUCAGGAAGCUUUUACUCACGAUGGAAGGCAAAGCGGGAGCAGGCACAUCACAUAGCAAGAGUGGAAGUAAGAGAGACACCAUGCUGUUUUAAACAAUCAGCUCCCAUGUGAACUAAUAGAGUGAGAACUCACUUAUUUCUGUAGCGAGGGCAUGAAGCCAUUUACAAGGGAUCCAUCCUCAUGACACAAACACCGCUAUCUCCCACCUCCAACACUGGGGAUGACAUUUCAACAUGAGAUUCGGAAGGGACAAAUAUCCAAACUAUAUCAUAUGGUUUGCAGAUAUUUUCUUCCACUCCUUGAGUUAUCUUUUCAUUUUGUUAAUUGUUUCCUUUGCUGUGCUGAAGCGUUUUAGUUUAAUGAAAUCCCAUUUGUCU
Molecule: RNA transcript, 2338 nt
Organism: Mandrillus leucophaeus (drill)
Lineage: Eukaryota; Metazoa; Chordata; Mammalia; Primates; Cercopithecidae
Gene: NKAIN3
Gene name: Na+/K+ transporting ATPase interacting 3
Exons: 7
Source: RefSeq, a predicted model, not a curated record